UGGGCGUUAAGUUGCAGGGUAUAGACCCGAAACCCGGUGAUCUAGCCAUGGGCAGGUUGAAGGUUGGGUAACACUAACUGGAGGACCGAACCGACUAAUGUUGAAAAAUUAGCGGAUGACCUGUGGCUGGGGGUGAAAGGCCAAUCAAACCGGGAGAUAGCUGGUUCUCCCCGAAAGCUAUUUAGGUAGCGCCUCGUGAAUUCAUCUCCGGGGGUAGAGCACUGUUUCGGCUAGGGGGCCAUCCCGGCUUACCAACCCGAUGCAAACUGCGAAUACCGGAGAAUGUUAUCACGGGAGACACACGGCGGGUGCUAACGUCCGUCGUGAAGAGGGAAACAACCCAGACCGCCAGCUAAGGUCCCAAAGUCAUGGUUAAGUGGGAAACGAUGUGGGAAGGCCCAGACAGCCAGGAUGUUGGCUUAGAAGCAGCCAUCAUUUAAAGAAAGCGUAAUAGCUCACUGGUCGAGUCGGCCUGCGCGGAAGAUGUAACGGGGCUAAACCAUGCACCGAAGCUGCGGCAGCGACGCUUAUGCGUUGUUGGGUAGGGGAGCGUUCUGUAAGCCUGCGAAGGUGGCCUGUGAGGGUUGCUGGAGGUAUCAGAAGUGCGAAUGCUGACAUAAGUAACGAUAAAGCGGGUGAAAAGCCCGCUCGCCGGAAGACCAAGGGUUCCUGUCCAACGUUAAUCGGGGCAGGGUGAGUCGACCCCUAAGGCGAGGCCGAAAGGCGUAGUCGAUGGGAAACGGGUUAAUAUUCCCGUACUUGGUGUUACUGCGAAGGGGGGACGGAGAAGGCUAUGUUGGCCGGGCGACGGUU
Molecule: ribosomal RNA, 813 nt
Filed under: Salmonella enterica subsp. enterica serovar Enteritidis
Lineage: Bacteria; Pseudomonadati; Pseudomonadota; Gammaproteobacteria; Enterobacterales; Enterobacteriaceae
Description: partial 23S ribosomal RNA
Rfam family: Bacterial large subunit ribosomal RNA
Source: RNAcentral